GUUGAACGGCCACAUUGGGACUGAGACACGGCCCAGACUCCUACGGGAGGCAGCAGUGGGGGAUAUUGCGCAAUGGGGGCAACCCUGACGCAGCAACGCCGCGUGAAGGAUGAAGGUUUUCGGAUUGUAAACUUCUUUUAUUAAGGACGAAACUUGACGGUACUUAAUGAAUAAGCUCCGGCUAACUACGUGCCAGCAGCCGCGGUAAUACGUAGGGAGCAAGCGUUGUCCGGAUUUACUGGGUGUAAAGGGUGCGUAGGCGGCUUUGCAAGUCAGAUGUGAAAUCUAUGGGCUCAACCCAUAAACUGCAUUUGAAACUGUAGAGCUUGAGUGAAGUAGAGGCAGGCGGAAUUCCCCGUGUAGCGGUGAAAUGCGUAGAGAUGGGGAGGAACACCAGUGGCGAAGGCGGCCUGCUGGGCUUUAACUGACGCUGAGGCACGAAAGCGUGGGUAGCAAACAGGAUUAGAUACCCUGGUAGUCCACGCUGUAAACGAUGAUAAGGAGGUGUGGGGGGUCUGACCCCUUCCGUGCCGG
RNAcentral lists this ribosomal RNA (534 nucleotides) under uncultured bacterium. Its description in RNAcentral is "bacterial SSU rRNA". It matches the Rfam family "Bacterial small subunit ribosomal RNA", at positions 299 to 849 of the family's 1533-position model. The record is from RNAcentral.